Molecule: ribosomal RNA, 543 nt
Filed under: Fusarium sp. FPGLXJ01
Lineage: Eukaryota; Fungi; Ascomycota; Sordariomycetes; Hypocreales; Nectriaceae
Description: eukaryotic LSU rRNA
Rfam family: 5.8S ribosomal RNA (bases 202-355)
Source: RNAcentral
GAAGUUCCACAUGUAACAAGGUCUCCGUUGGUGAACCAGCGGAGGGAUCAUUACCGAGUUUACAACUCCCAAACCCCUGUGAACAUACCACUUGUUGCCUCGGCGGAUCAGCCCGCUCCCGGUAAAACGGGACGGCCCGCCAGAGGACCCCUAAACUCUGUUUCUAUAUGUAACUUCUGAGUAAAACCAUAAAUAAAUCAAAACUUUCAACAACGGAUCUCUUGGUUCUGGCAUCGAUGAAGAACGCAGCAAAAUGCGAUAAGUAAUGUGAAUUGCAGAAUUCAGUGAAUCAUCGAAUCUUUGAACGCACAUUGCGCCCGCCAGUAUUCUGGCGGGCAUGCCUGUUCGAGCGUCAUUUCAACCCUCAAGCACAGCUUGGUGUUGGGACUCGCGUUAAUUCGCGUUCCUCAAAUUGAUUGGCGGUCACGUCGAGCUUCCAUAGCGUAGUAGUAAAACCCUCGUUACUGGUAAUCGUCGCGGCCACGCCGUUAAACCCCAACUUCUGAAUGUGACCUCGGAUCAGGUAGAAAACCCCCCAAAUUU